Molecule: ribosomal RNA, 769 nt
Filed under: uncultured bacterium
Lineage: Bacteria
Description: bacterial SSU rRNA
Rfam family: Bacterial small subunit ribosomal RNA
Source: RNAcentral
AGAGUUUGAUCAUGGCUCAGGACGAACGCUGGCGGCGUUAACACAUGCAAGUCGAACGAAGCCUAGAGGGCUUGCUCUUUAGGCUUAGUGGCGAACGGGUGCGUAACACGUGAGGAACGUAACCAUCGGCGGGGGAUAGCCGGCCCAACGCGGGUAAUACCGCGUACGACCUUCGGGCGGCAUCGUCUGGAGGUGAAAGCAGCAAUGCACCGAUGGAGCGCCUCGGGGCCUAUCAGCUAGUUGGCGGGGUAAUGGCCCACCAAGGCUACGACGGGUAGCUGGUCCGAGAGGAUGGCCAGCCACAUUGGGACUGAGACACGGCCCAGACUCCUACGGGAGGCAGCAGUGGGGAAUCUUGCGCAAUGGGCGAAAGCCUGACGCAGCGACGCCGCGUGUGGGAUGACGGCCUUCGGGUUGUAAACCACUGUCGGGAGGGACGAAGCUCUGACGGUACCUCCAAAGGAAGCACCGGCUAACUCUGUGCCAGCAGCCGCGGUAAUACAGAGGGUGCGAGCGUUGUCCGGAAUCACUGGGCGUAAAGGGCGCGUAGGCGGCUGGGUAAGUAGGGGGUGAAAUUCCGCGGCUCAACCGCGGAACUGCCUUCUAAACUGCCCGGCUCGAGCGCGGUAGAGGCUGGUGGAAUUCCCGGUGUAGCGGUGGAAUGCAGAGAUCGGGAGGAACAUCGGUGGCGAAGGCGGCCAGCUGGGCCGUNNCUGAGCUGAGGCGCGAAAGCGUGGGGAGCAAACAGGAUUAGAUACCCUAGUAGUCC